RNAcentral lists this ribosomal RNA (405 nucleotides) under Capnocytophaga granulosa. RNAcentral describes it as "bacterial SSU rRNA". It matches the Rfam family "Bacterial small subunit ribosomal RNA", at positions 85 to 489 of the family's 1533-position model. The record is from RNAcentral. Lineage: Bacteria; Pseudomonadati; Bacteroidota; Flavobacteriia; Flavobacteriales; Flavobacteriaceae.
GGGGCAGAAACCCGGGCACGGGUGCGUAACGCGUAUGCAACCUACCUUUCACAGGGGGAUAGCCCGAAGAAAUUUGGAUUAAUACCCCAUAAUAUUAUUGGAUGGCAUCAUUUGAUAAUUAAAAUUACGAUGGUGAAAGAUGGGCAUGCGUCCUAUUAGCUAGUUGGAGUGGUAACGGCACCCCAAGGCUACGAUAGGUAGGGGUCCUGAGAGGGAGAUCCCCCACACUGGUACUGAGACAGGGACCAGACUCCUACGGGAGGCAGCAGUGAGGAAUAUUGGUCAAUGGUCGGAAGACUGAACCAACCAUGCCGCGUGCAGGAAGAAUGCCUUAUGGGUUGUAAACUGCUUUUAUAUGGGAAGAAUAAGGAGUACGCGUACUUUGAUGACGUACCAUAUGAAUAA